CAAUAGCGUAUAUUUAAGUUGUUGCAGUUAAAAAGCUCGUAGUUGGAUUUCGGUUAAGAGCGACCGGUCCGCCGUUUGGUGUGCACUGGUUGGUUUUAACUUCCUGUAGAGGACGUGCUCUGGGUUUAACGACCUGGACUCGGAGUCUACGUGGUUACUUUGAAAAAAUUAGAGUGUUCAAAGCGGGCUUACGCUUGAAUAUUUCAGCAUGGAAUAACACUAUAGGACUCCUGUCCUAUUUCGUUGGUCUCGGGAUGGGAGUAAUGAUUAAGAGGAACAGUUGGGGGCAUUCGUAUUUCAUUGUCAGAGGUGAAAUUCUUGGAUUUAUGAAAGACGAACUUCUGCGAAAGCAUUUGCCAAGGAUGUUUUCAUUAA
Molecule: ribosomal RNA, 375 nt
Filed under: uncultured eukaryote
Lineage: Eukaryota
Description: partial 18S ribosomal RNA
Rfam family: Eukaryotic small subunit ribosomal RNA
Source: RNAcentral